GGAAUAUUGGGCAAUGGGCGCAAGCCUGACCCAGCGACGCCGCGUGAGGGAUGAAGGCCUUCGGGUUGUAAACCUCUUUCAGUAGGGAAGAAGCGAAAGUGACGGUACCUAAAGAAGAAGCACCGGCUAACUAUGUGCCAGCAGCCGCGGUAAUACAUAGGGUGCAAGCGUUGUCCGGAAUUAUUGGGCGUAAAGAGCUCGUAGGUCGUUUGCCGCGUCGAUUGUGAAAAUCUGAGGCUCAACCUCAGACCUGCAGUCGAUACGGGCAAACUAGAGUGUGGUAGGGGAGACUGGAAUUCCUGGUGUAGCGGUGGAAUGCGCAGAUAUCAAGAGGAACACCAAUGGCGAAGGCAGGUCUCUGGGCCAUAACUGACACUGAGGAGCGAAAGCGCGGGGAGCGAACAGGAUUAGAUACCCUGGUAGUCCGCGCCGUAAACGAUGGGCACUAGCUGUGAGAGCCUUCCACGGUUCUCGCGACGCAGCAAACGCAUUAAGUGCCCCGCCUGGGGAGUACGAUCGCAAGAUUAAAACUCAAAGGAAUUGACGG
RNAcentral lists this ribosomal RNA (547 nucleotides) under uncultured bacterium. RNAcentral's name for it is "bacterial SSU rRNA". It matches the Rfam family "Bacterial small subunit ribosomal RNA", at positions 358 to 916 of the family's 1533-position model. The record is from RNAcentral.